RNAcentral lists this ribosomal RNA (141 nucleotides) under uncultured bacterium. RNAcentral's name for it is "partial 16S rRNA". It matches the Rfam family "Bacterial small subunit ribosomal RNA", at positions 355 to 511 of the family's 1533-position model. The record is from RNAcentral.
UGGGGAAUUUUCCGCAAUGGGCGAAAGCCUGACGGAGCAAUGCCGCGUGGAGGUGGAAGGCCUACGGGUCGUCAACUUCUUUUCACGGAGAAGAAACAAUGACGGUAUCUGAGGAAUAAGCAUCGGCUAACUCUGUGCAAG